RNAcentral lists this long non-coding RNA (399 nucleotides) under Androctonus crassicauda. The record is from RNAcentral. Lineage: Eukaryota; Metazoa; Arthropoda; Arachnida; Scorpiones; Buthidae.
UCCAGUUUGUUCUCUUGUUUGAUUUAAAUCCAAUACUUGUUCCAGUUUUCUGUGAGAAUAUUUAUGAAUACUUUAUAUUAUUUGCAGUAAAUUGAUAGGCCUAGGUUUGUUAUAAUUUCCCAGAUCUGCUUUAUCUUCUUAUGUAUCUACACUAUGCAUUUUUCCAGCUUUCUACUAUCUGUCCUGUUUGUGUGCAGUCAGAGAAUAUCCUGAUGAGUAGCUUGUAUACUGGUACUCUUUUUUCAUUUAGGAAUUCCAACACUAUCAUUCAUCAAUUUGUUGUGAUUUUUGAAGAUGAUAAUACAGUAUUGUCUAUACUAAAAAUCAAUAAAAGUAACAUUAUAUUGAUAUAAAGAAUAGAAAUUUUACAAACUGUAAUACAUAUGUUUUCAGAAAAAU